This 274-nucleotide ribosomal RNA is filed under the name uncultured bacterium. Its description in RNAcentral is "partial 16S ribosomal RNA". It matches the Rfam family "Bacterial small subunit ribosomal RNA", at positions 523 to 796 of the family's 1533-position model. The record is from RNAcentral.
AUACGGAGGGUGCGAGCGUUAAUCGGAAUUACUGGGCGUAAAGCGUGCGUAGGUGGCUUGGUAAGUCGGAUGUGAAAGCCCUGGGCUCAACCUGGGAACUGCAUUCGAUACUGCCUAGCUAGAGUAUGGUAGAGGGAAGUGGAAUUUCCGGUGUAGCGGUGAAAUGCGUAGAUAUCGGAAGGAACACCAGUGGCGAAGGCGGCUUCCUGGACCAAUACUGACACUGAGGUACGAAAGCGUGGGGAGCAAACAGGAUUAGAAACCCCGGUAGUCC